Molecule: unclassified non-coding RNA, 211 nt
Filed under: plant metagenome
Description: partial contains small subunit ribosomal RNA, internal transcribed spacer 1, and 5.8S ribosomal RNA
Source: RNAcentral
UUUCCGUAGGUGAACCUGCGGAAGGAACAUUCAUAAUAAAGUGUUUUAUGGCACUUUUUAAAAAUCCAUAUCCACCUUGUGUGCAAUGUUAGAUCUCGUCAAUCUUGGCGAGAUUUUUAUACAUCAACUCAUUCUUUAACUAAUUUGUCUGAAAAAUAUUAUGAAUACUUAAUUCAAAAUACAACUUUCAACAACGGAUCUCUUGGCUCUC